This 2241-nucleotide long non-coding RNA is filed under the name Acyrthosiphon pisum (pea aphid). RNAcentral's name for it is "uncharacterized LOC107884385, transcript variant X3". The record is from RNAcentral. Lineage: Eukaryota; Metazoa; Arthropoda; Insecta; Hemiptera; Aphididae.
UAAUAACUUAGUUAUUUAGGUAAAAAUGUUAUGAAGGUAAUAACUAAUAAGUAAUAACUAUAUCGUAAUAAAUUAGUAAUGCGCCGUUGUAAUGAUUACUAUGCUCUAAGGUCAUAAAAUGGCCAUAAAAUCAAAAUAUCGUACAUGUCGUGACACAGCGACUACGAUCGCUACCGCCGGUCGCCAGUCGUAAGUCGUCGUCUUGAAUUACGCCGACAAGGGACAGCUGCAGCUGCACCAGGUACCUAGCACUCGUAAUCGUCAGUCGGCGAGGUCGAUGUUCGUCGCUGCACAAUGGUGGUUGUCCGCGUUGUCCGUCGUUCGCCAUCACAUCUCCGAUCACGGCCGGCCGCAGUCGGUCGUCAGUGAACCCUGCAGCACCAAACCCAGAGCCCGUUCCAGGAUUUCGUUGCCCCGUCUGCCCGCCUUCGGCAGCGAUUCGCCCAGAGUGCUGCGGAAGUUGGGAUACAAUCCCAGUUUCAUGACGUUACAGAGUAAGAAUACUUAUGCGGUUGGCACGGGUCAGUGGUAUGUUUUACGCAUCGGCAUAUCAAAUAUACGUAUUUUAAUUGAUGCUGAAGAGCCAAAUUUUCCAGAAUAUUUAUAAAAAAUCUUAAGGAGACGAUGAUAAAGUAUAAUUUUCAAUUUGAUCAUAUUAUAAUAUCACAUUGGCACUCGGAUCAUAUUGGCGGGGUAAAAAAUGUGUUCAAUAUGAUUGCUAAUAAAAAUGAUUGUCAAAUUUAAAAGUUCAAUCCCAAAAGAGGCAAGAAACGUGAUUAGAACUUUCCAUUACAUUUUGUAGAGAAUAAACAAAAGUUUGAAGUUGAAGGUGCUACAUUAUUAAUUCAUCAUACACCCGGACAUACAACUGAUCAUAUAGUUUUAUUUUGGGAAGAAGAUAUUGCAUUGUGCUAUGCUGAUUGUGUACUUGGAGAGGGAACUACUGUAUUUGAAGAUCUAACAGAAUAUUUAAAAUCAUUACAAUUGAUUUUAGACUUCAAUCCAACUGCUAUAUUUCCCAGUCACGGCUCUGUAAUAAAAAUUGUCAAAUUUAAAAGUUCAAUCCCAAAAGAGGCAAGAAACGUGAUUAGAACUUUCCAUUACAUUUUGUAGAGAAUAAACAAAAGUUUGAAGUUGAAGGUGCUACAUUAUUAAUUCAUCAUACACCCAGACAUACAACUGAUCAUAUAGUUAUAUUUUUGAAAGAAGAUAAUGCAUUGUUCUCUGCUGAUUGUGUACUUGAAGAGGGAACUACUGUAUUUGAAGAUCUAUCAGAAUAUUUAAAAUCGUUACAAUUGAUUUUAGACUUCAAUCCAACUGUUAUAUUUCCCAGUCACGGCUCUGUAAUAAAAGAAGGAAUUUUCUCUGAAUGUCGAUGAACCUGAACCCGUUAUUGCCAAUAUUUUAGGGGAACCAGCAGUUGAAACAGAAUGAUAUAUAUACUGCUAGAUGUACAAAUUCAACGGUUAGAUGCACAGAUACCAUUCGUCGAAGAUAAAGUACCUCAACCACACUAUUGAAAUUGGUACGUAAUCAAACUUUACGCAUUCUAAAAAUUGCUGGGCUUCAAGAUAAAUUAUCCGAAAACCAUACAUUAGUCGUUCUUUUCCCGGAUGCAAUAAAAGAUAAAAAUAUACUCACAAUGACUUGCAAAACUACGUACGAAGCGUCCGUCGAGUAUUUUGCUAUGUGUAUAAUAAUAUGUAGAAAGCAGGAACACCACCCCAACAUUGGUUAGAUAUGCUCCUGCAAUAUCAAUUAAUUAUCGACUACUUGAACGAUAGGCUUACAAUGCAACGCCUUGAACGAUUCAGACAUGCAAAAACAUAUAUUAGCUUUGUACAACAAUGCCAUAACCGUUUUCCUUUUUAAUGACAAGUAUUUUCCGGGUGAUCGUCAAAACUUGGCAAAUCCAAGCCGCUCGUUAGUGCACCGGUUGGAAGAGUCACAUUAAACGUCACUUGUCGAUCACUGAAAAACCAGAAGAAAAUAUAGAAGUGUUCGAUGUACAGCGAAAUGAAGUUCUAUGUGAUGCUAGAUUUGAAGCAGAUAAUUGUAAAAUUGUUAUUGGACAUAAAAAUGUUUUGAUAGCGGCUAGUCCAUAUUUCCGUGCAAUGUUUAGUAAUUUUGAUGAAAGCAAUAAAGCUAUUAUUAAUAUAAGAGAAUUGGAUUCAACCAUUUUACCACUAUUAGUAGAUUAUAUUUAUACUGGAGAAAUUAUGGUCACAAAGGAAAAUUUAC